This 498-nucleotide ribosomal RNA is filed under the name uncultured bacterium. RNAcentral describes it as "bacterial SSU rRNA". It matches the Rfam family "Bacterial small subunit ribosomal RNA", at positions 28 to 507 of the family's 1533-position model. The record is from RNAcentral.
GGCUAACGCUGGCGGCGUGUCUUAGCCAUGCAAGUCGAGCGGACUUAUGGGGUAACUUAUAAGUCAGCGGCGGACGGCGGAGUAACACGUAGCUAACCUACCCUCUGGACGGGGAUAACCUACCGAAAGGUGGGCUAAUACCCGAUGUAGUCAUCCUGUAUAGGGGUGAUGAAAGGUGGGCUUCUGUUUACAAGCUCAUGCUGGAGGAGGGGGCUGCGGCCUAUCAGGUAGUUGGUAGGGUAAUAGCCUACCAAGCCGAUGACGGGUAGCCGGCCUGAGAGGGUGACCGGCCCGAGGGGCACUGAGAUACGGGUCCCACUCCUACGGGAGGCAGCAGGCUAGAAAUUUGGGCAAUGGGGGAAACCCUGACCCAGUGACGCCGCGUGCAGGAAGGAGCCCUUCGGGGUGUAAACUGCUGUCGUGUAGGGAGGAGGGUACUAAGGUGAACAAUCUUAGUACUUGACGGUACUACAGGAGGAAGCCCAGGCUAACCUCGUG